UCACUGGUAGUUUAACGGCAGAAUGCUUUCGCUCCAGAAGGCGGCGAUCGGUUCGACUCCGGUCUCGGUGAUA
RNAcentral lists this transfer RNA (73 nucleotides) under Caudoviricetes sp. RNAcentral describes it as "tRNA-OTHER". Lineage: Duplodnaviria; Heunggongvirae; Uroviricota; Caudoviricetes. The record is from RNAcentral.